AUUGAACGCUGGCGGCAUGCCUUACACAUGCAAGUCGAACGGCAGCAUGGAGAGCUUGCUCUCUGAUGGCGAGUGGCGAACGGGUGAGUAAUGCAUCGGAACGUACCGUGUAAUGGGGGAUAACGUAGCGAAAGUUACGCUAAUACCGCAUACGACCUGAGGGUGAAAGCGGGGGAUCGAAAGACCUCGCGCGAUUAGAGCGGCCGAUGCCUGAUUAGCUUGUUGGUGGGGUAAAGCCCACCAAGGCGACGAUCAGUAGCUGGUCUGAGAGGACGAUCAGCCACACUGGGACUGAGACACGGUCCAGACUCCUACGGGAGGCAGCAGUGGGGAAUAUUGGACAAUGGGCGAAAGCCUGAUCCAGCAAUGCCGCGUGAGUGAUGAAGGCCUUAGGGUUGUAAAGCUCUUUUACCCGAGAUGAUAAUGACAGUAUCGGGAGAAUAAGCUCCGGCUAACUCCGUGCCAGCAG
Molecule: ribosomal RNA, 469 nt
Filed under: uncultured bacterium
Lineage: Bacteria
Description: bacterial SSU rRNA
Rfam family: Bacterial small subunit ribosomal RNA
Source: RNAcentral